Molecule: small nucleolar RNA, 132 nt
Organism: Cyprinus carpio carpio
Lineage: Eukaryota; Metazoa; Chordata; Actinopteri; Cypriniformes; Cyprinidae
Source: Ensembl
GCAGACUCGCUCUGUUUAAGUCUGACGAAUCCAGACUUAGACUUUUUAUGUCUGCGACAGUAACGUUAGAAGGACGUUAUAACCUGCCUUGCCAUUCACUUGGGAGGUGACCGUGCCUUCUCAGACAUUUUA